Molecule: long non-coding RNA, 2195 nt
Organism: Ictalurus punctatus (channel catfish)
Lineage: Eukaryota; Metazoa; Chordata; Actinopteri; Siluriformes; Ictaluridae
Source: Ensembl
AAAAAAAAGGGAUGGUGUGCUACAGCUCCAUUUUUUCCCCUGCAUCUCUAAUUAUGGCUAUUGAUGAAAGACAUAGUGUGUAUGUGUAAUUACUAAUCUUUUUCCUACACAACUGUGGCCAACAGUGUGGGAAUCCUGAGAAACAUAAGCCAUACGCUGGACUGAUUCAUUUUAUCAUGCUAUUGUGAUUUAUUCACGUCCAGGACUUAAUUCAUUUAAUUUUCAUUGUAGUCCCUUUUUAUUUUCAGGAAACCAGAUGGAGCAAGAGAAAGAAUUUUAUUUUGUAUGAGGAAGAGCCAAAACCUCCACUACGGUCACGUUUCGUGACGCAACGGAGAUAAGGCCCAUUUAAUCUACAAAAAUGUUCAACCUUUUUCUCUCUCGAAAACCUGAACGUGCUGAUGUUAACUAUAAAAAGGAGAAUUCAGAAUACCUGUGCAACUGUCAAUGAUUACAGAGGCGUGGAAUGAGAAACCAGAGAAAGAAAAAGAAGAAACAGAGCUCGGAGAGAAAGCGGCAUUACCGUCGGACCUACCCAAAAGCAUCCUACACCCUACCGCCAGAUCAAGAGGAGAGUUACACAAUCAUUCCCAAAACCUGGUCUUCCCUCACGGCAGCUCUUUAAGAGAUAUGGGCCUCAGCUUUUGGGAAUAUCUCCCCAACACCUGGACAGUGAGAUUAAGUCCCAUGAAUGGACACACGAACAGAUGAGAAUAUUAACACAACAGCUGCAUAAAGCUCUUGAUCAAAUGACUUUCUGCCUACACUUUGUUGAACAAGCUAGAGAUAUGUUAUAUGAUAAAAGGAGAGGAAGAAACAUACACUUUGUAUAUGGAAAUACCAUUCAGGCUCUGAAUGACAUGACUGCUGAAUAAGUGACCUAGCUCUUAUACCCAUAGUAGGAGACUACUUCCUGUUUUAACAGCCAACUGAUGAGUGUAUAUAUAGCGGAAUGAAAGUUGUGAGUUUUUGCCAAGAACUUGCAAGGUGAAAAUUUGUGCCUCAGUUUUGCUCUUCUGCCACUCAAGCCCUAUUGGGCUGUAAACAUGACGUCAUGCCUGUCCGUCUGUCUUUACGUGUGCUUAACAUAUGCAUUUAUCAUCCUUGUGAUGAAACCCAACUAUCAUCCUUGUGAUGAGACGCUCAUGUUUUUAUGUCUUCAUGUUCGACUAACUUGUGUAUUUAUUAUCUUAGCGAUUAGUGAUAUUUUUGAUGAGCGUUAAUUAUAGGAUGCUUCUGAAAAAGUGUCUAUAUAUUCCUGUAUCCUAUAAACUUAUGUAAACAUAUUGUAGGGAUUUUAGCCAGCGAAUUGGUGGAAAUCUUCCGCACGGUGCACCGUUCGCAAGCCGUGGGUGUGUCAGCGGCCCCGCCCUGCCGCCACGUGCUCUCUGUCCGUCCAAAACAUUCGGUGGCGCUGAAGCGGAACUGUCUCUUCUGCGCCACUGCGGCAAUCGCGGGAGGAGCAAUCUUAGUUUCCUGUGCGACGGCUACUGGCCUGUCGCCACAGAACCCCCCCCCGCAGCUCCGAGCCUACUGUCGCCGCGUGUCAGGCCCACAUGGUGUCCCGUCUUGAGAGGCCAUCUGCAUUUCCGUGUUGGGUCCCUGCCUGGCGCUGGACCUGGAAUGAGAAAUCUUAUAGGGAGAGGAACCACCGAGUCACCGGCCGUUAGUGUCCUUGGCCUUGGCCAUCCACUGGAGUGGGGUGUGGUCUGUCACCAGGAUGAAGUUCUGCCCAGCCAGGUAGUACCGUAGUUCCUCGAUGGCCCACUUUAUUGCUAGGGCUUCCCUCUCCAUGGCCGCAUACUUCCUCUCUGCUGGGGACAACUUUCGGCUAAUGCAGAGGACCAGGUGCUCCUUCCCAUCAAAGGUCUGUGAGAGGACCGCGCCCAGCCCGGUUUCAGAUGCAUCUGUGUUCACGGUAAAUGGGAGGGCGAAGUCCGGGUUACGUAGUAUAGGGGUGCUGGUGAGGGCUUCCUUCAGGUUCUGGAAUGCCCGCUCUGCGUCUGUAGACCAUUUCACCUGGUCCGGCUGGCCCUUCUUUGUGAGAUCUGAAAGGGGGGAGGCUAGAGAGGAGAAGUUAGGUACUGUGCCUCGCUCAGCCCCAGGUGACACUUUUUGGGGUUGGCUGUCAGCCCGGCCUUCCGGAGCUCCUUCAGGACUUCCCCCAGGUGGAACAGGUGGUCUGACCAGGUGGA